This 485-nucleotide long non-coding RNA is filed under the name Manihot esculenta (cassava). Its description in RNAcentral is "long non-coding RNA (MESC_LNC004609)". Lineage: Eukaryota; Viridiplantae; Streptophyta; Magnoliopsida; Malpighiales; Euphorbiaceae. The record is from RNAcentral.
UUUCACUUGUUUUCAUGUUUUGAAGUGUUAAACGACUUGAGUUUUGACAGAAAAGUAACAAGGGAGAAAUGCAAAGGUUCGGCCGCCGAAGGUCACUUUCGGCCGCCGAACAUUGCAUGGUUGCGGCUUCACGUUCGGCUGCCGAAGGUGGUCUGGCCAGCCACCUAUAAAAGGGCCAAGGGUCGGUGGAAGGAGGUUAUUUCUCCUCCACUUGCAGCCAGAGGUGAGUUCCAGCCUCUCCUACGUUGACUUUCAUGUUUUCCAUGAUUUUCAUCAAAUCUUUCAAGAGUUUUAAGAGUUUUGGUGACUUUUGAAGGUUUUGAGCAAAAGAACCAAAGUUUGAAGCUUGGAGCUUUGGAAGAGCUUUUCUUCAUAUCUCCACGUUAGGAUCCUUCAUCCUCAAGUUCUUUAAGAGGUAAGUGAAGAUCCUGAGCUUCUUUGAUGAUUUUGAAAGUUUUAUGAAGUUUGUAUGGGUAGUAUGCAUG